Molecule: ribosomal RNA, 433 nt
Filed under: uncultured bacterium
Lineage: Bacteria
Description: partial 16S ribosomal RNA
Rfam family: Bacterial small subunit ribosomal RNA
Source: RNAcentral
AACGAACGCUGGCGGCAUGCCUAACACAUGCGAGUCGAACGAGACCUUCGGGUCUAGUGGCGCACGGGUGCGUAACGCGUGGGAACCUGCCCUUAGGUUCGGAAUAACUCCCCGAAAGGGGUGAUAAUACCGGAUAAUGUCUUCGGACCAAAGAUUUAUCGCCUUUGGAUGGGCCCGCGUUGGAUUAGCUAGUUGGUAGGGUAAAAGCCUACCAAGGCGACGAUCCAUAGCUGGUCUGAGAGGAUGAUCAGCCACACUGGGACUGAGACACGGCCCAGACUCCUACGGGAGGGAGGAGUGGUGAAUAUUGGACAAUGGGCCAAAUGCUGAUCCAACAAUGCCCGUAGAAUUAUGAAGGCCGUAAGGUUGUAAAGCUCUUUUACCCGGGAUGAUAAUGACAGUACCGGGAGAAAAAGCUCCGGCUAACUCCGUG